GGAGGUUGAUCGGUAGUACAUUGUAGUUGGUGGCUAAAUCUUGUAAAGGGUUUCCUAAUAUGGGCCGUCUUACAGCAGUGCCCUCCCCCCUGGGCCAUCCCCUCCACCUCUCAGCCAGUGAUCACACAGCUCGGGUACGACUCACUUCCUCAUUAAUUGGCUGAAACCAGUUCUUACAGGAACCGCCUGUGAUAAAUGUGAGAGUUCUGAGAAGUCAUUCAUUUCUGCGCGCUGCAGCGGCAGAGGAGGCACUGCAGGGGAGUUGAACGGGUUCACCGCUGUGUGAGAGAGAGAGAGCGAGGGAGAGAGGGAGUGAGCAUGUGUGUACGCAGACUGAGAGGAGCUGAGCGCACUCAAUACUGCAGACGCCACAGACGCUCCAGCCACGCACCGCACACUUCUGCUUCUCCUCUCUCUCUUCGUCUUUGUCUCUUGUCUUUUUAGUGAAAAAGCGUCUUAUUAGCUGAAGCCGGGGCACAGACUGUACUUUUUUCUCUUUCCUGUUUGUGUGUGUGGGGGGAUGCACCCGUUGAUCCCUCCGUCUUUCUCUCUUCUCUCAGAGGAAGCGAGAGGCCGACACUGUACAGGAGAUAGGACAGCAUGCCUCUCUUUGUUGCUGCCCUUGGGCUGGUGAGUAACAAUGAUGUGACGUGAUUUGCACCCCCCACCCCCAUUCUUCCCUUCCCUCCCUCUUUCCCUCCUUUUCCUCUCUCCCUCUCUCCUCUCUUGUGUUGUUGGACAUAGGCUCCACUGCUGGGUGCGGCACUGCAGAAGCCCUUCAGAGACACUUGGAGGCCCAGAAGGCCGAGCGGCUCUCGGCAUCCGAGAGGGGUCCCAACUGGACACUGUAGCUUCAGACAUGGAUCUUCUACCAGGCUCUUCACGAUGUGCUCCUUUGUGCUGCAUUGUCAUCUCACCUCGGGCUCCAGCACCAGGGGAAGUGUGGGUGGCCGAGAGUCCCAAAGCUUCAGAGGACUUCUGCACUAAUUUCUACUCUCCUUUCAGCUGAUAACCCUCCAUUAUCUGCCUCCGUCUGGUUUCCUUCUUAUUGUACAAACUUGUUUAUGUUGAACUUGGACUUGCAGUUACUUGCUUGUGAAGUCUUUAGUAAUUAUUUCUGCUAAGGUAGGUGGUAGCCUAAAUCUUGGGAUAUUUCAGUUGUACUAUAGACUGUAUAUUUCAGCAUGUGUGGGAUAACUGAGUGGAAUAAAUGUAGCCAGUUAAGCAUCAAGUUGUAUAUUUGAAGGACCUAACAUCCCACGGCGCUUUCAGUUAACCUUUUGAAAAUUCAGAUUAUUUUUUGAAGGAAUAUGCUUCUUGCUGUAUUCCCUUGUGGAUAUUUUUCAUUUUAAGGCUAUUUUCAGUUGUCGAUUUCAUAGUAGUUUGUAACUUGUAGAUCAGUGGGUCAGUAGUAGCAAAGAUAUGAAUCCUGUGUAGUCUAUUGUAUUAACUGUUGAGAAUAGUUUACUUUUGGCAGGGAGAACAUAAAUUCUCAGUCAAUCAGUGUACUGGUCCUUUGUCUGCUCGUAUUGUUCUGCUUACAGGAAGAGCCAUGAGUCAGCCUGGGGGCUUUACCAGAUGCAGUCCUAUACUACAGUACAGUAUAGAGUGAGUGGUAUUUUUGGCUUAGUCUAGUUUAGUGUGGUCAUUUCCAUUUUUCCUGAAUUAAAUUAGAACAGUAUAUGCUAAUAGUCUGUCCCAAAGUCUCGCCUCUUGUCAUUUACUCCUCUGUUUCAGUUAACAGAGUCAGGCUGGCUGCUUUUCUUUGUCUCCAUAGCCAGGGAGCUGUGUGCCUUUUAGAUCUUACAUCAUCUCCCUAGCACCACCUAACGCCUUAUUUCUAAUCCAUCUUUGUCUUUCCUUUCUUAUCGGAGCACAAAUCUAUCUCUUUUUCCCCUAAAAUCUCCACCAAAAUAUAGUAUUUUUGGUGCUGGGUCCUUGGCGCUGCUGUGCUGUGCUACGCUGGACUGAGUAGAGCAGGCACGGGCGGAGGGAAAAAAAGCUCAGAGUGAAAAGCGUCUGUGGUGUUACCUCAACUGAACCUUCCAAUGAACUCGAUGCACUGCCCCAGUCACGGAGCCAGGAGACGAAUCACUCGAGUAGAUUCAAAACAGAGGGGUACUGUUAAGCAUGCUGAACCCUUUGCUCCUGCUCAGCUCACAGCAUUCUCCUCUCCUCUGCCACGGUAAGUACGAUUAGGAUUUCUUCUCCUUUAUUGUUAGUGUACAUGUGAGCCACGGACAUGUUCGGCACUCGGUUUGUCAGAUAGCUUAUCAGACUGGUGUUGGCUGUUAAGAUUACAAGGCGACAACAGUCUGUAAGCUGUCUGACAUUUUGAGCUUAUUCAUCUGAUCCUGCUUAGUCCUCUUCUCGUAUUGUCUUUGUCUCACUUAGCAUCAGUUCCCGUACGGAGGUGUGUUCUGCUAUGGGAACACUGAAGUCACCCUUUUGUUUAUUUCCUCUAUGAUGACGUUUGUGGAGGUUUUUUACGAGGAACUGUUUCUCACUUGUUGGUGCUAAUACUUUCAUGAUUUAUCCGCUUCACCAUGCGUGCUUUUUAGUUGGCUUUAGCUGUUGAAUUUCCAGAGAAUCCAGACAGAACACACCUCAUUGCAACACAUUGUAUUGUGACACCCAGUUCUAGGUAUGGUACACGCAGUGCUCAGCUCCCUUCCCUUUUACACUUCCCUCUUUUCUAUAACAAAGAACUUCCCACAGUUGCUCAAUAACACUUUUUUGUUGGACUGUGCAUUUUAUUACAAUAGCUUAUCAUAAGGGUUUUUGUCAUGUAAAUUCCUAGUGGGAAAUUAUUGUCUGUUCACUGGUUACUAUUCUACUUUAAUUUUUUUUCAAUUUCUUCUAGAUUUAAAACAUUUUGGUCUGAAAAGCACAAAUUUGAUUUUUGGAAUUGACUCUAUUCUACAAAACAAUUUUAUUUUUUAAAUUUCUUCUAGACGUAAAACAUUUUGGUCUUAAAAGCAAAAAUUAGAUCAUUGGAAAAGACAGGAAUGGCUUUCUGGCUGAGGGAGUGUGUUUUUCUUGGCUGUUUCAGAAUGUCCUGUUCCAUGAGGGAGCCCCCUUUUGGCAUGUGCCUCACUACGUGUUUGUAAGCUUCUAGAAAUUCUCUCUGUACUCCAGAAAGUGUACUAAAUGUUUACGUCAUGUUUGUACCUGGGUUAUUUCAGAAAUGUACUCUUGUUUUUGUCAGUUGUCUUCUUUCUAAAUAAAGUCCAUUCAAAAGAG
Long non-coding RNA from Boleophthalmus pectinirostris (great blue-spotted mudskipper), 3243 nucleotides. RefSeq lists it as uncharacterized. The transcript is spliced from 2 exons. The record is from RefSeq and is a predicted model, not a curated record. Lineage: Eukaryota; Metazoa; Chordata; Actinopteri; Gobiiformes; Gobiidae.